ACAAGCAGACUUUAACAACAGGAUAUCAAUUCACAGGAAGGAAAAAAAAACAAUGCAAUGAAACAAACAAACACUUACGAGGCCAACACAAAACAACCGACAGCAACGAAGAAGCAAUACAGUACUACAAGGGAAGACAACAACAACAACAACAUAACAAAAACAAAACAAACAAACGCACAUACAUUAACAGCAAUGCAAAACUGUAAAUAAAUAAAAAACAAGAUGAAUUGAAUCUACGAGGAGAAAGAUAAACAAGAGCAGAAACAAUGAGGACACAGACAGACAGGUGGAAAAAAUACAACACAUUCACACACACACACAUACACAUACACAUAGAAUAGAAAAGAAAAACAAAUAGGUAAAUAAAGAGCAGGAACAAAGAACAGGGACAGGAAAGAAUAAGACAAACACACAUACAAUAAAUAAUAGAAGAAAAAACAGGGUAAAAAAUAAGUAAAUAGCAAAAACAAGGAGCAGAAAAGAUAGAAAAAACAAGGAACACACACACACACA
Molecule: long non-coding RNA, 516 nt
Organism: Eriocheir sinensis (Chinese mitten crab)
Lineage: Eukaryota; Metazoa; Arthropoda; Malacostraca; Decapoda; Varunidae
Exons: 2
Source: RefSeq, a predicted model, not a curated record